This 511-nucleotide ribosomal RNA is filed under the name uncultured bacterium. RNAcentral describes it as "bacterial SSU rRNA". It matches the Rfam family "Bacterial small subunit ribosomal RNA", at positions 18 to 508 of the family's 1533-position model. The record is from RNAcentral.
UAUGGCUCAGAUUGAACGCUGGCGGCAGGCCUAACACAUGCAAGUCGAGCGGAAACGAGUUAUCUGAACCUUCGGGGAACGAUAACGGCGUCGAGCGGCGGACGGGUGAGUAAUGCCUAGGAAAUUGCCCUGAUGUGGGGGAUAACCAUUGGAAACGAUGGCUAAUACCGCAUAACACCUUCGGGUCAAAGAGGGGGACCUUCGGGCCUCUCGCGUCAGGAUAUGCCUAGGUGGGAUUAGCUAGUUGGUGAGGUAAUGGCUCACCAAGGCGACGAUCCCUAGCUGGUCUGAGAGGAUGAUCAGCCACACUGGAACUGAGACACGGUCCAGACUCCUACGGGAGGCAGCAGUGGGGAAUAUUGCACAAUGGGCGCAAGCCUGAUGCAGCCAUGCCGCGUGUGUGAAGAAGGCCUUCGGGUUGUAAAGCACUUUCAGUCGUGAGGAAGGUAGUGUAGUUAAUAGCUGCAUUAUUUGACGUUAGCGACAGAAGAAGCACCGGCUAACUCCGUGC